AUUGAACGCUGGCGGCAGGCCUAACACAUGCAAGUCGAACGGUAACAGGAAGAAGCUUGCUUCUUUGCUGACGAGUGGCGGACGGGUGAGUAAUGUCUGGGAAACUGCCUGAUGGAGGGGGAUAACUACUGGAAAUGGUAGCUAAUACCGCAUAACGUCGCAAGACCAAAGAGGGGGACCUUCGGGCCUCUUGCCAUCGGAUGUGCCCAGAUGGGAUUAGCUAGUAGGUGGGGUAACGGCUCACCUAGGCGACGAUCCCUAGCUGGUCUGAGAGGAUGACCAGCCACACUGGAACUGAGACACGGUCCAGACUCCUACGGGAGGCAGCAGUGGGGAAUAUUGCACAAUGGGCGCAAGCCUGAUGCAGCCAUGCCGCGUGUAUGAAGAAGGCCUUCGGGUUGUAAAGUACUUUCAGCGGGGAGGAAGGGAGUAAAGUUAAUACCUUGGCUCAUUGACGUUACCCGCAGAAGAAGCACCGGCUAACUCCGUG
This 490-nucleotide ribosomal RNA is filed under the name uncultured bacterium. RNAcentral describes it as "partial 16S ribosomal RNA". It matches the Rfam family "Bacterial small subunit ribosomal RNA", at positions 30 to 507 of the family's 1533-position model. The record is from RNAcentral.